AUUUACUCUCUCUCUCACUCUGGCUCUCAGUGCCUAUGUCCAGACUGCUGCUUCAGACCUCACCGCCCCUUUCCAUUCAAACCAACUUUAAGCCAGACUUCUGAGUGUGUGAGCCAGCAUUUCAUCAACAGUCUGCUGUGCACUUUCAGGAGCCUCUUAAUUUGUUAAAGUUUCAGCUGGAGAAAAGUGACCAACAGUGACCAUGAUGAGGAUCAUACUACUGCUUCUGGUCACCCUGACGGGGCCUUUCUGUACCUUUACCCAAGCAAACAUGUGCUGAUACAGUGUUUCUCUCAUGUGGACCCAGUGCUGGGAAAAUGAUGUAAUGGUGCAAUGAGUGUAAUUCCGGUUUUGAGUACUCUGGUGGUGCCAACAGCUAUUGGUUCAACUCCACAACCAAAUCUUGCAUCAGAUUCACCUACUUUCACAUACACAACAGAGGUAACAUCUCCUCAAGAUGCUGUUUCAACGUCAGAGCCUGCUCCUGAGGUUACAGAAGCAGCUGCCACGACAGAAGAAGUGCCAAUGGUUUCCACAACAGCACCAGUGAUACAGUCAGAAGCCCCAUUCGAAACAACAGCCCUAACAGAUACAACACAAUCAACAGAAGCUGUACCUAUAGAGACAACCAGCCCUGAAGCCACUACUGUCUUUGCAGAAGCAGAAAUGCCUGAGAAAGUUGAAGACAUAGAAUCAAAGACUGCAGAUGAAGAGGUGGAGGAUGAAGGUAUGGGCACAGGACAGUUGGUGGGGAUCGUAAUCGGUGCAUUGAUCACAGUGAUUGUUGUCAUUGCUGUAAUCAUCUUGUUGGUCAGAAGAAUGGGCCAAUACUCCCCCUGAAAAGAAAGGCACGACAGGAAGAGAAAAAGAAGAAAUCCGGGAAGUUCUGAACUAUUGUUCUGAUGUUAAAAACAAUCCAAGCAGCACUCUCACCAUCCAUCCAGGACUGUACGGGGAGCAGGAGAGUGUCCCAUCCCCUUUCCCAUUGAAAAAGAUGCCCUCCCACAAAAACACCUUCCCAGUGCCCACAAGUUAUUUUAUUUAGCCUGAAAAACCUUAUUUAUCCCAAUAGUGGGAGGCCACAGGAAGUUACAGUAUCUUUUUUUAAUGCAUAUUAAUGUAACAGGAGAUUAAUGAAUGUUCAAUUUGUAAAGGGCCUAAUAAACAAAAACAAACAAACAGCUGCCCAUGCAAGCAAAAGCUUGUAUGUUUUUAUAUCAUACAGAAAAAAAAACUAAUCCAAAAUCAUUAUUCUUUUCCCAUUCUACAGAUGUGUCCAUUUGGACUAUGACGCAUUAUGAACAGUCUUUGAACUGUCAUAAGCAGAUGCUGAGGACACAUUCUGUUCUCAAGAUGUGUAACCGGCUUUAACUAAUAAAUAUUUUUUAAAUUAUUAGUUAAGGGGAGCAGCACACAAUAAGUGCUUGAGAUUUACUCAUUUGAAAGUGCACUAGUACAGAGUGACUUGACUGUGUUGUUCUUAACUGUCACCCAUUCCAAAAGUGACAUCAUUUCCUCUGGAACGCAUCAUUUAUUGUGUGUUCCAAUCCGCUUAGCUCCAGCGCACAGCUGCUAUUGGCAUGUAUCUCUAAAAUCCUGAUGUUCCUCAGCCUGGACUACAUCAUUUUAACAGCAUACUACAGACAUUUUGCAUGGUAUAGUUGAGUUGUUUGCAUUUCUUUUUGUCAGUGUUGAGGUUUGUGUUUCUUUCUGAUGUUCGAGAGCAUUGCUAUCCUGGGCUUUGCUUUAAGAGAUCAGUAUUAGGUGCACUGAAUGAUGAAGAAUAAAUGUUUAGUAUUGACAAGACACUGCAGUUGUUUGCAACGAUAUUUUGUGUUUCUUGCUUGCCAGAUUCCUCUUUAUUUCUCGUUACUCCAUGAUCUCAUUUUGCCAUUUGAUGUCAGAAUCCAGUUAAAGCCAAGAGUUUGACUUUGUGUUUUGGGGUUUUGUUUUACUUAUUGUUCAAUCAAUUUCAAUAAAAAAGUUCCAAAGUA
Molecule: long non-coding RNA, 1994 nt
Organism: Cyprinus carpio carpio
Lineage: Eukaryota; Metazoa; Chordata; Actinopteri; Cypriniformes; Cyprinidae
Source: Ensembl